GUACUGCUGAAGAGUCCAAAACUAGGACGAAACAGCUGUCCAGUAG
This 46-nucleotide non-coding RNA is filed under the name Trichobilharzia regenti. Lineage: Eukaryota; Metazoa; Platyhelminthes; Trematoda; Strigeidida; Schistosomatidae. The record is from RNAcentral.